This 226-nucleotide long non-coding RNA is filed under the name Nicotiana benthamiana. RNAcentral's name for it is "long non-coding RNA (NBEN_LNC001342)". Lineage: Eukaryota; Viridiplantae; Streptophyta; Magnoliopsida; Solanales; Solanaceae. The record is from RNAcentral.
CUAUUUCAGCUUGAUGUCAAUAAUGCUUUUCUCCAUGGUGAUUUGGAUGAGGAAGUUUACAUAAACUUCCUCCAGGUUUGACAGUUUCUGCUCCUAUUUCUGGUUCUGUUUCUCCUCUUUCUUCUAGUUCUUCUUCUCUGGUAUGUAAACUCAAGAAAUCCCUAUAUGGGCUAAGACAAGCAUCCAGACAAUAGUAUGCCAAGUUGUCUUCUGCUCUUUAUUCCAG